This 311-nucleotide unclassified non-coding RNA is filed under the name Hevea brasiliensis (rubber tree). The record is from RNAcentral. Lineage: Eukaryota; Viridiplantae; Streptophyta; Magnoliopsida; Malpighiales; Euphorbiaceae.
UGGGGAUUAGGGUUUUCUCUCUUCAUGUAUACAUCGAUUUGAUCGAUGGAAAUGGAUUACGUAACGGAAUAUCCACAUUCCUACAUGGAUCGUCGUCCUAAGAAACGUCCAAGACUAGAUUGGGAUCCUUCACAUACUCCCAAGGCUCAGUCAGGAAUUUAUUAUGGGCAAGAGGUUGGCAAUUCAUCGAGCUAUGUGCAUUCAAGAUUACUACCCGAUCAUGAUAAUUUAUAUGUAAAAGGACUGGCUCAAAAAGGCUCUCCUCCACGGCGAGAAGAUGACAAAGAUGGACAUUACUUGUUUGAGCUUGG